AUGAACGCUGGCGGCGUGCUUAACACCUGCAAGUCGAACGCGAAAUGGAGACGGAAACCUUCGGGCGGAAGGCUUCAUUUCGAGUGGCGGACGGGUGAGUAACGCGUGGGUAACCUGCCUCAUACAGGGGGAUAACAGUUGGAAACGACUGUUAAUACCGCAUAAGACCACAGCACCGCAUGGUGCGGGGGUAAAAACUCCGGUGGUAUGAGAUGGACCCGCGUUCGAUUAGCCAGUUGGCGGGGUAACGGCCCACCAAAGCGACGAUCGAUAGCCGAUCUGAGAGGAUGACCGGCCACAUUGGGACUGAGACACGGCCCAAACUCCUACGGGAGGCAGCAGUGGGGAAUAUUGCACAAUGGGGGAAACCCUGAUGCAGCGACGCCGCGUGAGUGAAGAAGUACUUCGGUAUGUAAAGCUCUAUCAGCAGGGAAGAAAAUGACGGUACCUGAGUAAGAAGCCCCGGCUAACUACGUG
Molecule: ribosomal RNA, 477 nt
Filed under: uncultured bacterium
Lineage: Bacteria
Description: partial 16S ribosomal RNA
Rfam family: Bacterial small subunit ribosomal RNA
Source: RNAcentral